GAUGAACGCUGGCGGCGUGCCUAAUACAUGCAAGUCGAGCGAACAGAUAAGGAGCUUGCUCCUUUGACGUUAGCGGCGGACGGGUGAGUAACACGUGGAUAACCUACCUAUAAGACUGGGAUAACUUCGGGAAACCGGAGCUAAUACCGGAUAACAUAUUGAACCGCAUGGUUCAAUAGUGAAAGGCGGCUUUGCUGUCACUUAUAGAUGGAUCCGCGCCGUAUUAGCUAGUUGGUAAGGUAACGGCUUACCAAGGCAACGAUACGUAGCCGACCUGAGAGAGUGAUCGGCCACACUGGAACUGGGACACGGUCCAAACUCCUACGGGAGGCGGCGGUAGGGAAACUUCCGCAAUGGGCGAAAGCCUGACGGAGCAACGCCGCGUGAGUGAUGAAGGUCUUCGGAUCGUAAAACUCUGUUAUCGGGGAAGAACAAAUGUGUAAGUAACUGUGCACAUCUUGACGGUACCUGAUCAGAAAGCCACGGCUAACUACGU
Molecule: ribosomal RNA, 496 nt
Filed under: uncultured bacterium
Lineage: Bacteria
Description: partial 16S ribosomal RNA
Rfam family: Bacterial small subunit ribosomal RNA
Source: RNAcentral